RNAcentral lists this microRNA precursor (136 nucleotides) under Hordeum vulgare. Its description in RNAcentral is "microRNA MIR1122". It matches the Rfam family "MIR1120/MIR1122 microRNA precursor family". Lineage: Eukaryota; Viridiplantae; Streptophyta; Magnoliopsida; Poales; Poaceae. The record is from RNAcentral.
UACGUACUCCCUCCGUUUCAAAAUUCUUGUCUUAGAUUUGUUUAGAUAUAAAUGUAUCUAGUAACGUUUUAGUAUUUAGAUACAUCCAUUCCUAGACAAACUUAAAACAAGAAUUUUGGAAUGGAGGGAGUAGUUG